CUGUGAAACUAUGGUAUACAAUAUAGUACUAAACCUUAAAAAAGCAGGAAAUCCUGCCAUUUGCAACACAUGGAUGGACUUAGAGGACAUUUAGCUAAGUAAAAUAAGUGAUAGAAAGACAAAUAUUGUAUGACUUAUAUGUGGAGUCUAAACAAGUCUAACUCAUAGAAGCAGAAAGUAGAAUCAUAGUUGCCAGGGGUUAGAGGGUGGAGGGAAUAGGGAGGUGUUGGUCAAAGGGAACAAAGUUUCAGUUUUACUGGAAUUUUUCAAUUAUAUGAACAAAUUCCCUUUAAUUGCUUAAACUAGUUUAAACUAUGUUUCCUGUCACUUGUAAUGAUACACUGGAGCCAGGAUUUGAACUCAGCUCUGCAUGACUCCCAAAGUUUAUGCUAUAAUCCAUAAGCUAAAGUGCUUCUCAAUGGGUGUUAUACUGAGGACAGAGGAAGUUCAAGGAAAUCUUCACCAAUAACUAGUGACUUACAAGUAAAACAUACUCUGUAAUUUCCUUCUCUUUUAAUAAUGAGAAAAUUGUCUUGUAUGAAUUCAAAUGCAUCCGAUGUAACCAUUUAUUGAUGAAGUGCAAAAGUAUUAAGUAUCUUUCUCAAAGUGAUAACCUAUAUUAUGGAUGAAUUUUCCAUUACAAAUACCAUUAUAAAUUUUCUGUAAACUUGAGGCAUAUUUUACUUAAAAGUCUCAAGUAAAGAAAGAUCUCAAUGUCAUUCUCUUCUUUGUCUAAAAACAAUCAUGAUAAGUGACGAUUUUUUUCCCUAGAUCAAAUUAUGUAAACGUUUCUUGAUGGGAGUUAGACAUAUAGCCCAUUUGUUUUACCUCUCUUCUUUCUAGUGCCAAAUCAAUAUAUUCUAGUGAUGAGACAAAUGACUCUUUUCUCCUCCUCCCUCUGUUAAAAGGAAAUCACUUCACCUGAUUCAGACUCUGGACCUAAGGCACAUCUAAGCCAUGAGGAUAAAUUGGAAUCAAAGGGAAAAGGACUGUUCUCAAAUACACAACUCUUAGCAGGACUGAUGAAAGAUUCCUUUUUCAUUUGGCACAUGGAGAAUUUGCUACUCCUUAUGCUGGAUGAAAACAUAGCGCCACCGAAUUUCAGAACUUCAUUGCUGCUUUGAGCACCAGUUCUACCUCCAAGGAGGCCGAAGGGAUGCUAAAUAGUAUUUUUCACAGUUGAAGACUCCAUUUCACCUUGAUAUCCCUUAAGCGUAAUGACAGUUCUCCGUUUAGACCAAUUUAAGUAUGGAAGUUGGGAGGGAGCAGAGGGAAGCUACAGAAACUUUGCAGGGAGGAGUAGAGGCGAGAGGCCAAUACUUAUUUAUGCAAAAGGCCAGCGGACGCUUAAUUGCUUGGAGGCUUAUGUCUCAAUUUUAACUUUAUAUCCUUACCUGGGGAAAAGGAGAAUAGCAUUCAUUCAUCUGCCUAUUUAUUGAAAGUCUUCCAUGAGCAAUCACUAUAAGUGGGGGUAAAUAGAGUGGAGGUUUAGAGAGCUAGAGUGGAAAAGAAGAAGAAAAACUCAACACAAGAUUAAAAUGUGGCCUCUAUCCUUAAGAAAUAACAAUGAAGUGGGAAAAUGAAACGAAUAAACUUUUAAAAAAUUAAUUGAGCAGCAAGUGUUCAGAGGAGUUGAAAGUUCAAAAGGAGUCUUUGUUAUUUCUGUUACCCCAAUCCCAUCACACACACACAUUCACCCACCAAUACUUUACAGCUGUGCCAGGCCUCGGAUUGGUACCUUUUAUGUUCUCAAUAUGCUCUCUGA
This 1765-nucleotide long non-coding RNA is filed under the name Equus caballus (horse). RNAcentral's name for it is "lncRNA (ENSECAG00000029301.2)". Lineage: Eukaryota; Metazoa; Chordata; Mammalia; Perissodactyla; Equidae. The record is from RNAcentral.